GACGAACGCUGGCGGCGUGCCUAAUACAUGCAAGUAGAACGCACAGUUUAUACCGUAGCUUGCUACACCAUAGACUGUGAGUUGCGAACGGGUGAGUAACGCGUAGGUAACCUGCCUGGUAGCGGGGGAUAACUAUUGGAAACGAUAGCUAAUACCGCAUAAUAUUCAUUAUUGCAUGAUAAUUAAUUGAAAGGUGCAAUUGCACCACUACCAGAUGGACCUGCGUUGUAUUAGCUAGUAGGUGAGGUAACGGCUCACCUAGGCGACGAUACAUAGCCGACCUGAGAGGGUGAUCGGCCACACUGGGACUGAGACACGGCCCAGACGCCUACGGGAGGCAGCAGUAGGGAAUCUUCGGCAAUGGACGGAAGUCUGACCGAGCAACGCCGCGUGAGGGAAGAAGGUUUUCGGAUCGUAAAGCUCUGUUGUAAGAGAAGAACGGGUGUGAGAGUGGAAAGUUCACACUGUGACGGUAUCUUACCAGAAAGGGACGGCUAACUACGUG
This 505-nucleotide ribosomal RNA is filed under the name uncultured bacterium. Its description in RNAcentral is "partial 16S ribosomal RNA". It matches the Rfam family "Bacterial small subunit ribosomal RNA", at positions 28 to 507 of the family's 1533-position model. The record is from RNAcentral.